GACGAACGCUGGCGGCGUGCUUAACACAUGCAAGUCGAACGGAAAGGCCCAGCUUGCUGGGUGCUCGAGUGGCGAACGGGUGUGUAACACGCGGGUGAACUGCCUCUAACUUCGGGAUAAGCCUGGGAAACUGGGUCUAAUACCCGAUAGGGCAAUUGCUGCGUGUCGGUUGUGGUAAGUUUUUUUGGUUAGGGAUGAGCCCGCGGCCUAUCAGCUUGUUGGUGGGGUAAUGGCUUACCAAGGCGUCGACGGGUAGCCGGCCUGAGAGGGUGGACGGCCACAUUGGGACUGAGAUACGGCCCAGACUCCUACGGGAGGCAGCAGUGGGGAAUAUUGCACAAUGGGCGCAAGCCUGAUGCAGCGACGCCGCGUGGGGGAUGACGGCCUUCGGGUUGUAAACCUCUUUCGACAGGGACGAAGCUUUGGUGACGGUACCUGGAUAAGAAGCACCGGCUAACUACGUG
This 464-nucleotide ribosomal RNA is filed under the name uncultured bacterium. RNAcentral's name for it is "partial 16S ribosomal RNA". It matches the Rfam family "Bacterial small subunit ribosomal RNA", at positions 28 to 507 of the family's 1533-position model. The record is from RNAcentral.